GAUGAAGAACGUAGCGAAAUGCGAUAAGUAAUGUGAAUUGCAAAAUUCAGUGAAUCAUCGAAUCUUUGAACGCACCUUGCGCUCUUUGGUAUUCCGAAGAGCAUGCCUGUUUGAGUGUCAUGAAAAUAUCAACCUUGACUUGGGUUUUGUGCUCUAGUCUCGGCUUGGAAUUGGGUGCUUGCCGCUUUUACGAGCGGCUCACCUUAAAUGUAUUAGCUGGAUCUGUCUUUGAGACUUGGUUUGACUUGGCGUAAUAAGUAUUUCGCUAAGGACAUUCUUCGGAGUGGCCUCGUUUCUAGGACGCUUGUCCGCUUUCCAAUACAAGUUCCACCUCGUGGACAUGACUUUUUAUUAUCUGGCCUCAAAUCAGGUAGGACUACCCGCUGAACUUAAGCAUAUCAAUAAGCGGAGGA
RNAcentral lists this unclassified non-coding RNA (413 nucleotides) under soil metagenome. Its description in RNAcentral is "partial contains 5.8S ribosomal RNA, internal transcribed spacer 2, and large subunit ribosomal RNA". The stretch from base 1 to 120 matches the Rfam family "5.8S ribosomal RNA", at positions 35 to 154 of the family's 154-position model. The record is from RNAcentral.